CACCGGUGCACAGGCAGCUAGCCUGUUCUGUUACCCUACGCCACAUUCAGUUUAUUUCGAACUGCAGGAUGCUGACUAGGGGAGAUGGUGGCUUGACUGCUCUGAGCGCCAGAGGCCCUGCGGUUCAAAGUCUGCAAGAGUGAACGCAAGCUAAAGGAUCGGCCCGGGCGCUACAGCUCCCCCUGCCAGGUUGGUGGUGUCUCGGGAAACAAGUACGCCAUCUGGUGUCCAACAGGAGAAGCUACAAAAGGAGCCCACCGUGUGCGGAAGAGCCGCCAACUCUGCACAGAAGGCCGACCCGCAACGUGGUGGGAAGUGUGGACUGUUUGGCAUUUGGAGUCUUGGACUCGAGUCCACUUCCCGAGCAUGCGCAAAGGAAAAAAAAAAAAAAACAACCCAGCCUCGUCAGAAAUUGUUUAUACCAUACAGUGAGGGUUGGGGUUCUGUGUUUAAAAUGUAGCAUGGGGAAAUAAAAUCACAGACCACUUUGGCUUCUUGUCACCCUAAGGACCCUGGCAACAUUGGGUGGUACAGAAGAGAACUGUCCCAAUGGGCUAAUAGCAAAAUGUCACGGCUAUUUCGGCUUUAACUUAUUUCUUGUUUUCCCUAUCUCGCUGAUGAGCAGAGCAUGAAAAAAAACAAAACAAAACAAACAAACAAACAAAAAAAAAACCCCAACAUCUGCGAGUCAGAAACUUGAGGGUAAACAAGGCCUGUAUCUCCCUUUUGUGAGUCCUGGGAUCAAUUAGGAAUAACCACACUUAUUGCCUGUAGUAGGGGUGCAAGGUCACCCCAGGCGACCAGUUUACCUCUGUCAGACUUGCUGGGGAAAGGGGGGUGCAAGCUGGAAUGUGCAGCCGCCCGCGAGGGGCUCUCCCCAAGCCCCUGCUUUGCUUCAGUGCCCUUUCGCCCGCCCCUCCCCCGGUGGCGGUGGGCGGGGGCUUCCGGGCACGAGUCCCGGAGCAGGCCUUUGUGUGCACGCAGGACCAGAUGAGCCCAGACGACCGCUGCAAGGCAGACCCAGCCCCGCAGCCCGGCUGUCCGGUUAGGGUGCUUAGACGCAGCGCGAGAAAGACGGGAAGAGCUCACCAAACCCCCAUAAAAAAAUAAAAAGAAA
Molecule: long non-coding RNA, 1117 nt
Organism: Rattus norvegicus (Norway rat)
Lineage: Eukaryota; Metazoa; Chordata; Mammalia; Rodentia; Muridae
Source: RefSeq, a predicted model, not a curated record